AUUGAACGCUGGCGGCAGGCCUAACACAUGCAAGUCGAACGGUAACAGGAAGCAGCUUGCUGCUUCGCUGACGAGUGGCGGACGGGUGAGUAAUGUCUGGGAAACUGCCUGAUGGAGGGGGAUGACUACUGGAAACGGUAGCUAAUACCGCAUAACGUCGCAAGGCCAAAGAGGGGGACCUUAGGGCCUCUUGCCAUCGGAUGUGCCCAGAUGGGAUUAGCUAGUAGGUGGGGUAACGGCUCACCUAGGCGACGAUCCCUAGCUGGUCUGAGAGGAUGACCAGCCACACUGGAACUGAGACACGGUCCAGACUCCUACGGGAGGCAGCAGUGGGGAAUAUUGCACAAUGGGCGAAAGCCUGAUGCAGCCAUGCCGCGUGUAUGAAGAAGGCCUUCGGAUUGUAAAGCACUUUCAGCGGGGAGGAAGGGAGUAAAGUUAAUACCUUUGCUCAUUGACGUUACCCGCAGAAGAAGCACCGGCUAACUCCGUG
This 490-nucleotide ribosomal RNA is filed under the name uncultured bacterium. Its description in RNAcentral is "partial 16S ribosomal RNA". It matches the Rfam family "Bacterial small subunit ribosomal RNA", at positions 30 to 507 of the family's 1533-position model. The record is from RNAcentral.